RNAcentral lists this ribosomal RNA (937 nucleotides) under uncultured bacterium. RNAcentral describes it as "bacterial SSU rRNA". It matches the Rfam family "Bacterial small subunit ribosomal RNA", at positions 8 to 916 of the family's 1533-position model. The record is from RNAcentral.
AGAGUUUGAUCCUGGCUCAGGACGAACGCUGGCGGCGUGCUUAACACAUGCAAGUCGCACGAGAUGAUUGAAAGCUUGCUUUUGAAAGUCGAGUGGCAAACGGGUGAGUAACGCGUAGACAACCUGCCGUAAAGAUGGGGACAACAGUCCGAAAGGACUGCUAAUACCGAAUGUUGUGGAACUUCCGCAUGGGAGCUCUACUAAAGAUGGCCUCUACUUGUAAGCUAUCGCUUUAUGAUGGGUCUGCGUCUGAUUAGCUAGUUGGUGGGGUAACGGCUUACCAAGGCGACGAUCAGUAGCCGGUCUGAGAGGAUGAACGGCCACAUUGGAACUGAGACACGGUCCAGACUCCUACGGGAGGCAGCAGUGGGGAAUCUUCCGCAAUGGGCGCAAGCCUGACGGAGCAACGCCGCGUGAGUGAAGAAGGGUUUCGACUCGUAAAGCUCUGUUGUCGGGGACGAAUGUGGAGGUUGUGAAUAACAGCUUCCAAUGACGGUACCUGACGAGGAAGCCACGGCUAACUACGUGCCAGCAGCCGCGGUAAUACGUAGGUGGCGAGCGUUGUCCGGAAUUAUUGGGCGUAAAGGGAGCGCAGGCGGGAGGUCAAGUCUAUCUUAAAAGUGCGGGGCUCAACCCCGUGAGGGGAUGGAAACUGGUCUUCUUGAGUGCAGGAGAGGAAAGCGGAAUUCCUAGUGUAGCGGUGAAAUGCGUAGAUAUUAGGAGGAACACCAGUGGCGAAGGCGGCUUUCUGGACUGUAACUGACGCUGAGGCUCGAAAGCGUGGGGAGCGAACAGGAUUAGAUACCCUGGUAGUCCACGCCGUAAACGAUGAAUGCUAGGUGUAGGAGGUAUCGACCCCUCCUGUGCCGGAGUUAACGCAAUAAGCAUUCCGCCUGGGGAGUACGGCCGCAAGGCUGAAACUCAAAGGAAUUGACGG